CUCAGGUAGCAAUAAACAGUUAGGAAAAAAUAUUAAAAUUUGCCCUUAUAAAUUUUACCAUCCCCUUUUCAUUGCUUUCUUGCAAUAUCAAGCUUACUGUUUGUGUCAUAUAUGGGCAUAUGUAUGUAAUCAGAAUCUUCCAUAGAUUUUAUAUCCAGUAUAUAAAAUGGUAAAAUAUAAUUUCUUUUGGGUGUAUCCAUGGCAACAAUCUGCAUUUAUUUGUUAUAAAAUAUUGCAAAAAGGGGGGAAAAGAUGUCACAUAUUUCCCCAAAAUUUGGCUAAAAGUAGAAUUUCAAUCGCUUGAAGUAAUACCUUUUCUGAAACUGUGUACAUAUAUCAUUCAGCAAAUCCAAGGAAAAUCAUAUGUCUUUCAUCUCAUUUUUUUGUAAAAUUGCGUCAAAAACUUCGUGUAGAAAAAAAGUGUUUGUAAACAUUACAUUAAUUUCUGGACCGAUGGCCGGUCUAGCUAUGAAAAUACGGAUUGUCAAACAGAAAACAGCCCAUAAAACAUGUAAAAAAUAAUCUUGAUGCACUUAUAAACCACCUUUGAAGGCUAAAUUAGCACUCAGCUGUCUAAAAAUGAAUUUUAUUACACAAUAACUUUCCUAUUUGAAAAAAUCCACAGGGGCCAAAAUGCGAAACUAAACUCCUAACUGUGUAUUGCUACCUUAAUAGUAAAUAUUUUUUUCAAAUUCUCCCUUUUAACUUAUUUUCUAUGUUCUGCUAGCUAUCACGAGUAAAAUGGCCUUUUAUUUUUGAAAAUUGGUUGAGUAAUGAAUAUUUUAUGAAGGUUAGCAGUUGACACUGAAACGCGACAAAAACUGAUUUUAAAGAAAGGUGCCAAGUCAAAGUGUAAAAUCUUGUCUCUACCUCAAUUUUUAGCAAAAUCUUAAAAACUAUACCUCUUUUGUCAGUUUUUUAAUGUUGAAAAUCUUAAUAAGAU
Molecule: long non-coding RNA, 943 nt
Filed under: Mytilus galloprovincialis (Mediterranean mussel)
Lineage: Eukaryota; Metazoa; Mollusca; Bivalvia; Mytilida; Mytilidae
Source: RNAcentral